GUUAUGUGGGUUUUUAUUUCUUGGUUUGUUAAUGGUUUCAGUUAUGGGUUUGAUAGCGGGAAAUUUGAUGGCUUGGUGGGGUUUAUUCCUCUCUUGUAAUUUUGCAGAACCUUUGGUUUUUAACGUGAAGAUAUUGUGAUUUCCUGAUCAGAUGAUCGGGCUACGACAAUCAUUCAGAGUGGGUUUCUUGUAUUUUCUUGACACUCUUUAUGAGAUUCUUCGUGGGUUUUUCUUCCUUGGUUUGGCAGAUUCUGCUUUUGGUGGUAGUCCGAGCUUUCGGUAAUUUUUUGUUGAUUUCAAUGGAUUGAGACAAUAAGAAGUUUUGAUGGUCUGAUCGAGUUUGAGUUUUCGUGUAUCCCUUGAAUCAUUUAGGGAAUCUGGGUUUCUGGUAUUUUCUUCAUACUCAUAUCAUCUUUCUAUUUUUCCUCCUCUUUGUGGUAUCAACAGGAGUUUUAUAAAUACGUUAGUGGAAUCUGCUUCUGCGUUUUGAGAUUUUAUUUACCAUUAUUUGAUCCGUUCAAAAGGCUUUGUUUGGUGUUUCUAUUAGUUUCUUUGGUACUCAGGGAUUGCACCAAGUGGUUGUUCAGGCUGGUGGUGAUGCAGUAUCUUUAUUUGGUUUCUGAUGGUUAUUUCGAAUUAUGUUUUGUUAGUUGCUUGGAAUAUCUUCACUCUUUGGUAAUACAGAAAACAAUUUUCUGUUGUGAUUCUUUACCCGCUGAUGGAAGUUGUCGGAUAUUAAUGGAAAAGAGGUUUAAGAUUUUUCGAUGUUUUACAUGUUGACUUCUUGUUCAAUGGCUUCAGCUUGUGUUUGGGGGGAGUUAUAGUGGAGAUUGGUUAUUUUAUAAGGUGAUCUGGAGGUGAAUGUAUUCGUUGUACACUGCAACCAACCUUAUGCUGGUGAUCUGUAACCUUUCCCAGUCUGUGCAAUGUAGACUUUUUGUCGUUCUUUUCAUAUAAAAAGCCUUAGGUUCUUCGAUGCUUCUUGUGCAGGCAGCUUCGACAGUAGCAAUCGGUCUAUGUGUAUUACGCAUUAUUUUACCUUUUUUCUUAUUCUAUUUUUUCCAUCUCUUUUCACCUUCAUUCUGGUAUUUCCCCCCCUUCCUGUUUGCAGAAACUGCUUAUCAGUAUUGCUGGUGACCAUCCAAUUCCAAAGUUAUUUAAUUGUCUUUACUGGACUUUGGAAACUUGGGCUGCUACUUUAAUGGACUUGAAUUUAAUUUGUUGAAAUAUCUUUUUCUAUAACUCUCGAUCUAGAUGGCAGAUACUGGGUUUACCUACUAAGGUGAUGUGUGGCUGUUGGCAUUGAUUGGGAAGAAUAGAAGUUUAGGUUUUGGCAAAGAUUGACGCAAUGCUGAACUACUCCUAGGAAUUGCAGUCUCUUAAUGUCAGAGAGCUCUUUAGGUGCAAUAACUUGUUUUAUAACAUUCUUUCCUAGUCUUUUAAGCAUUGGGAUUUCAGAUUACCCUAUUUCUGAUUUAUACUGAUCCAUUACUCCUUUUUUGAGUAGUCACUGUUUGUAACUGGAUAUGUUUUUUUGUUUCUUUCCAUAUUUCCAUUUCCUCCCCUACCUAGUAGGUGGUGGCUGUUCAGUCUUCUAAAACUUUUGUAGCAUUGAAAUUGAAGGAUAAUGGGGAAGUUGUACACCUGCUCUAAUUAUGAAGUUCAUUUUUCUUUCGUUGGACUCAAAAUUACCUGCCAUUCUGCAUCUAUUUAUAAGAACAUUCACAAUUAUACACCUGCUUGUCAGUUUUCCAUGUAUAUAUUUGUUUCUGAAGGGUUAUUCCACGACAAGAGGUUGCCAGUCACAAUUAUAUGUUGUACUUUGGUUAGACCAAAUAUUCCACAUACUUCUCUUACUGUUUAUGCUUAGCGUUCAUAGUAAUAGGCAGUUCUGAAGCUAAAUUAUUAUUUCCUGUCAUUUGUUUGGGAUAAUAUUAUUAUUUUCACAUUAGUAUUUAUAAUUUAUCUUUUGGGAUACGCAGAUGAUAUUUUGGUGGACAGUAAUGCCAUAUGGAGAAGGGGCAUAAAAUAGAUUUUUUGGCUUCACCUAGAUUAUGGCAUCCUAUCUUUGCUAACCUGAUCACGCUUGGUUUUUUUCACCAUAAUAGAUUUUUGUCAUUGUUUAUUUAUUUCCUCUCCUUCAUAUUCUUUUUUUAUAGGUCGAGUUGUUCAGUUUCAGUCAUUAUAAGAUUUGGAGAUGGAGGACUCAAAUUUUUGCAUCUUGAAUCUAUGUACGUUGUUUAUAAAUGCACACAACCUUUGACUUCGAUUGAAAAAUUAAGUGUUUAGUAGUGUUAAAGGUGGUGGUGAUUUGGAACCUGCUAUGAUCUGUUUUGCAAAGAAUUAAGUUCUUGUCUAUUAUUUCUUUCUUUUAAAAAAAAGCUUCUUUAGGUUUUUUUUUGCGUUGCUUUAUUCCUUUUGCAGUCUUUAAGUGGUUGAUAGUGGGGAAAGCAAUAUCAUUUAUUGUUUGAUGUAGUUUGUUUUAAAUCAUGUUCUUGUGAGUUGAUUGGAAUAUUAUCAUCACUUUUAUAUUGGUACAGAAUCUGGUUUUUCCUUUGGUGCUUCAUCCAAAGCUGGAAAUUCUUUUGGUCAAAUAAUAAUGGAUACUUACGCAAGAAAUGGUGUAAGAUUUUCAUUUAUUUUCCUUAAUUUAUUUCUGGUUCAUCAGUCUCAGUUGUGUGUGGGGGGAGUUCGAGUUUGAUCAUUUUAUGAGGACUGAGGCUUUGUGAAGGGGAACUUAUUCAUUGUUCACUGCAGCUACAUAUGGAUUGGUAAAAUUGAAAUCUUUCUCAGAUUUUGCUAAUGGAACUUAUUCAUUGUUCUCUGAUGUGUUUCUCCACUUGCAGAUAGAUUUGACAGGGAUAGGAUGACACUUGGUAGCUGUUAAGGUGUAAAGCUUAUUUGUGGUGUUGGUUUAUGAGUUUAUUGGCCUUUUUAGCUAGUUUGUUCUAUCUCUAUCUUUCUAGACAGGACUGUCUACUUGAAAGAAAGGAUUUCAUUUGAAAUUCUUCUCGGAGUCUCACCUUCAGAGGUUCUGGAAUUACAAUCUAAGUGGUUUUCAGGGUGGUGGGGAUAUCAAUACCAUUAAAAUUGUUUGCUGUGGUUUGUUUUAAGGGCCUAUUUGGAAGCGAUUUUUUCCCUCAAAAAAUUGAUUUUUUGACCGUUAUUUCACCUUUUCAGCAUCAUAUUUGACUUCUUCUUUCACGGGUGGAUCCCACUUUUCUUAUAACGGUCAAAAAAUUAAUUCUCAAAAUCACUCCCAAACAGGCUUUAAAUGAUAUAUUUUUGAGAGUUCUUUGGAAUGUGAUUUUCACCCUCAUAUGGUACAGACUCUGGUUUCUAUUGGUGCCUUCUCAUACACUGCUGAAGCCCUUGGGUCAAAUAAUAAUGGAUACUUCUGGAAGAAAGGGUGUAAAUUUUUCUCUUUUCUUUGUUCAUUUCUGAUUCGUUAGUCUCAGUAUGUGCGCAGGAGAGUUUAUGUGGAUUCUGAUUAUUUUAUGAGGUCUGAGGGUGUGUGGAGGGGAAAUUUUUUGUUGUUUACUGCAAUAUUUGCGUAGGUGAUUUGAAACCUAUAUGCCUUUGCUCUGUACAUGAAAUGGAAUUUGGACUUUUUUCAGUCUCUUACAUAAAAUGCCUUAGCUUUUUUCAUGUUUCUCCUUGUGCAGAUAGAUUUUAUAAGAUGACGACACAUGGGUCAGGUAACUAAUGAGGGUGUAAAGUUUGUGUGUAGGUGGUUUACGAAUUUGGUAGUUCUCUCUGCCUUUCUGGAUCUUCAACUUGAAAGAAAAAAUUCAUUGGAACCUGCUUCUUGGGGUCUCACCUUCAGGGGUAUUCUUGUUGGAUGAAAGCAACGUACACUUAUAAAGACUAAGCUCCCUCAAAAACACUGUCUGUUUGGAGAUAUCAAUAAUUGUAGUUAUCAUGAGUUGUCCUCUAUACAUAAACUCGGCAUGUACUGCACAGGAAUUUUCAAUAUUGCCCGAUGACAGUUCUUUGGAAGUUAUAAAGAUUGUUCACCAGUUGAUAAUUUCUAUGCUACGGUACUGAUAUGCAUAAGAAGUAAAAUUGAUUGGAUGGUAAUUUCCUGUUCUGCACACAAAUACUUUUCUUGUCAGAAUCUGAUGUUGGGCUCUUUAGACUGUUGCUUCAAUUUGCACAUAUUUUUUUAAUUAAAAAUUUGCACAAUUGGAAUGAGAUGGAUAUUCGUUUAUUUUUAACCCACUGAUCUCACAACUUGGGAUCUUUUGUAGGUGAAGUCAUUAUAAAUAUAACCGUCGAAAGUUAUAGUGGACUCAAACUUUUGCUCUUCGAUCUGUGGAUGGGUUUGAUCUUUUGACCUUAGGAAAUACUAGUUGUUUGUAUCCAUUUAUUAGUACUUCUAGUUUCAUGAUUAUGGUGCAUAUGUUUUGAUAGAAUCAAAUAUGCAAUAUUUGCAGGCAAAAAGUAUUUGGUGGAUUGGGGAAAAAUCAAUAUUCUAAUGUCGAAUCAAGAUCAACUAGGACAAGCGG
This 4508-nucleotide long non-coding RNA is filed under the name Olea europaea subsp. europaea. Lineage: Eukaryota; Viridiplantae; Streptophyta; Magnoliopsida; Lamiales; Oleaceae. The record is from RNAcentral.